This is a transfer RNA of 69 nucleotides. It matches the Rfam family "tRNA". From Rfam's summary of the family: Transfer RNA (tRNA) molecules are approximately 80 nucleotides in length. Their secondary structure includes four short double-helical elements and three loops (D, anti-codon, and T loops).
CAAAGAGUAGUUUAACUAAAAAGCCAGCUUUGGGAGUUGGUGAUGAGGGUUAGAUUCCUUUUUUUUUGA